Molecule: transfer RNA, 78 nt
Filed under: Promethearchaeota archaeon
Lineage: Archaea; Promethearchaeati; Promethearchaeota
Description: Candidatus Lokiarchaeota archaeon (anaerobic digester metagenome) tRNA-Thr
Rfam family: tRNA
About the family: Transfer RNA (tRNA) molecules are approximately 80 nucleotides in length. Their secondary structure includes four short double-helical elements and three loops (D, anti-codon, and T loops). Further hydrogen bonds mediate the characteristic L-shaped molecular structure. tRNAs have two regions of fundamental functional importance: the anti-codon, which is responsible for specific mRNA codon recognition, and the 3' end, to which the tRNAs corresponding amino acid is attached (by aminoacyl-tRNA synthetases). tRNAs cope with the degeneracy of the genetic code in two manners: having more than one tRNA (with a specific anti-codon) for a particular amino acid; and 'wobble' base-pairing, i.e. permitting non-standard base-pairing at the 3rd anti-codon position.
Source: RNAcentral
GGCAACGUGGCUUAGGCUGGCUAUAGUGUUUGCUUGGUAAGCAAAAGGUCGCGGGUUCGAAUCCCGCCGUUGCCUCCA